UAUGUGAUCGUCUCUCGCAUAUCAAUAAGCGGAGGAAAAGAAACUAACAAGGAUUCCCCUAGUAACGGCGAGUGAAGCGGGAAGAGCUCAAAUUUGAAAUCUUAAAGGGUUUCCCUUUACGAAUUGUAGUUUAAAGAAGUGUUUUCUGUUGAGGUUUUGGUAAAAGUUCUUUGGAAUAGGACAUCACAGAGGGUGAGAAUCCCGUAUUUGACCUUUACUUUCAACUUUGUGAUACACUCUCAAAGAGUCGGAUUGUUUGGGAAUGCAGUCCAAAAUGGGUGGUAAAUUUCAUCUAAAGCUAAAUAUUGGCGAGAGACCGAUAGCGAACAAGUACCGUGAGGGAAAGAUGAAAAGAACUUUGAAAAGAGAGUUAAACAGUACGUGAAAUUGUCAAAAGGGAAGCGUUUGACACCAGUGUUGUUUUUCUGAAAAUCAAUUAAAGAACUGUUUAUGCUAAGCUGUUUAGACUUUAUCAGCUAAUCUGUUUAGUUUUGAGCUUUUCUUUAAUGCACUUUUCAGUUAACAAGUCAACAUCAAUUUCUUUUGCUGUAAAAAAGCUUGAGGAAGGUGGCUUGAGAUUCGUCUUAAGUGUCUAUAGCCUCUUGCCUAUGCAGUCGGAGAGAUUGAGGUCUGCAGCGUAGAUCCUUCGGGGCUAAAUGCAUUUGUGCUAAGUUAUAGCAUUUUAUAGACAACUUGUUGACUAUGAUUUGUCUUGUAGCUUACUCGCUUAUGUUAUUUUACCUACGCUUAGGAUGUUGAACGCGCACAGAGUCUC
This 775-nucleotide ribosomal RNA is filed under the name uncultured Neocallimastigales. RNAcentral's name for it is "partial large subunit ribosomal RNA". It matches the Rfam family "Eukaryotic large subunit ribosomal RNA", at positions 24 to 633 of the family's 3401-position model. Lineage: Eukaryota; Fungi; Neocallimastigomycota; Neocallimastigomycetes; Neocallimastigales. The record is from RNAcentral.